This 85-nucleotide transfer RNA is filed under the name Burkholderiaceae bacterium. Its description in RNAcentral is "tRNA-Leu". It matches the Rfam family "tRNA". Rfam says of the family: Transfer RNA (tRNA) molecules are approximately 80 nucleotides in length. Their secondary structure includes four short double-helical elements and three loops (D, anti-codon, and T loops). The record is from RNAcentral. Lineage: Bacteria; Pseudomonadati; Pseudomonadota; Betaproteobacteria; Burkholderiales; Burkholderiaceae.
GCCCACGUGGCGGAAUUGGUAGACGCGCAUGGUUCAGGUCCAUGUGUCGAGAGACGUGGGGGUUCAAAUCCCUCCGUGGGCACCA